Molecule: long non-coding RNA, 437 nt
Filed under: Nicotiana benthamiana
Lineage: Eukaryota; Viridiplantae; Streptophyta; Magnoliopsida; Solanales; Solanaceae
Description: long non-coding RNA (NBEN_LNC024510)
Source: RNAcentral
CUAGACUUAUAAUGUGUGUAUAUAAGGAAACUCGCAUCAUUUCUCAUAUUAAUAGUGCAAUAUAACAUGAUUUCCAAGAUAAAGUAGAAUGGCAUAACAAUCAAAUUAUUAGAACUGAUCUACCUGCUCAAAAAGCUUGCUUGGAAAGCUUGAGCAAUGUUCUAACUGUCAUUAUGUCAACUUCCACAAUUCCAUUGAUCUGAUUACUUUCUAGAGGUAAAAGGAAAUUGCAUCUAGGUGAAAAGUAUACCUGAAUAAAUCAAGUGAAAUAAAUCACUUCUUAUUUCCCAAGUGAAAUUGUGGUAUCAUGUCAAGCAAAGAAGGAUGCUUCGCUAUAACAUCUAUUGGUGACAUAAUUCACUUCUUAUUUCCCAAGUGAAAUUGUGGUAUCAUGUCAAGCAAAGAAGAAUGCUUCGCUAUAACAUCUAUUAGUAACU